This 262-nucleotide ribosomal RNA is filed under the name uncultured bacterium. RNAcentral describes it as "partial 16S ribosomal RNA". It matches the Rfam family "Bacterial small subunit ribosomal RNA", at positions 524 to 784 of the family's 1533-position model. The record is from RNAcentral.
UACGGAGGGUCCAAGCGUUAUCCGGAAUCAUUGGGUUUAAAGGGUCCGUAGGCGGUUUUGUAAGUCAGUGGUGAAAGCCCAUCGCUCAACGGUGGAACGGCCAUUGAUACUGCAAGACUUGAAUUAUUGGGAAGCAACUAGAAUAUGUAGUGUAGCGGUGAAAUGCUUAGAUAUUACAUGGAAUACCAAUUGCGAAGGCAGGUUGCUACCAAUACAUUGACGCUGAUGGACGAAAGCGUGGGGAGCGAACGAGGAUUAUGAA